RNAcentral lists this ribosomal RNA (470 nucleotides) under Pomacea scalaris. RNAcentral's name for it is "partial 16S ribosomal RNA". It matches the Rfam family "Bacterial large subunit ribosomal RNA", at positions 1848 to 2583 of the family's 2925-position model. Lineage: Eukaryota; Metazoa; Mollusca; Gastropoda; Architaenioglossa; Ampullariidae. The record is from RNAcentral.
AGGAGUCUAGCCUGCCCAGUGAAUUUUUAACGGCCGCGGUACUCUGACCGUGCAAAGGUAGCAUAAUCAUUUGCCUUAUAAUUGAAGGCUAGUAUGAAAGGUUUGACGAAAGUUAAGCUGUCUUUUUUUGAAUAAAAUGAAAUUAACUUAUAAGUGCAAAGGCUUAUAUUCCACUAAAAGACAAGAAGACCCUAUUGAGCUUUAUAAAGAUACAGUAGUAUAAAGUAUAUAAUAAGAUUCUAAUCUACUAAAAUUUUUAGUUGGGGCGACUUAGGAAUAGUUAUAACUUCCUAGUGUUAAAAACACUUAAUAAGUUUUUUAUCCAAAAAAUUUUGAUUAUCAAAAUUAGUUACCAUAGGGAUAACAGCAUAAUCUUUCUUAGGAGCUCUAAUCGAAAGAAAGGAUUGUGACCUCGAUGUUGGACUAGAAUAUCCUAAAGGUGCAGAAGUUUUUAAGGGUUAGUCUGUUCG